CCCUUAGAUGCUCUGGGCCGCACGCGCGCUACACUGGUCGAUGCAACGAGUUUCUUUCCUUGGCCGACAGGCCUGGGCAAUCUUUGAACAUCGAUCGUGAUCGGGAUAGAUUCUUGUAAUUUUUGAUCUUAAACGAGGAAUUCCUAGUAAACGCAAGUCAUCAGCUUGCAUUGAUUACGUCCCUGCCCUUUGUACACACCGCCCGUCGCACCUACCGAUUGAAUGGUCCGGUGAAAUCUCGGGACGGCGGCUUGGUCGCUUGCGUCCGACUGCUGAAACUUGAUUAAACCAUAUCAUUUAGAGGAAGGUGAAGUCGUANCA
This 321-nucleotide ribosomal RNA is filed under the name uncultured eukaryote. Its description in RNAcentral is "partial 18S ribosomal RNA". It matches the Rfam family "Eukaryotic small subunit ribosomal RNA", at positions 1470 to 1796 of the family's 1831-position model. The record is from RNAcentral.